Molecule: ribosomal RNA, 2931 nt
Filed under: Enterobacter cloacae
Lineage: Bacteria; Pseudomonadati; Pseudomonadota; Gammaproteobacteria; Enterobacterales; Enterobacteriaceae
Also listed under: 2 other names
Description: bacterial LSU rRNA
Rfam family: Bacterial large subunit ribosomal RNA
Source: RNAcentral
GGGUUGUGAGGUUAAGCGACUAAGCGUACACGGUGGAUGCCCUGGCAGUCAGAGGCGAUGAAGGACGUGCUAAUCUGCGAAAAGCGACGGCGAGGUGAUAUGAACCUUUGACCCGUCGAUGUCCGAAUGGGGAAACCCAGUGUGUUCCGACACACUAUCGUUAACUGAAUACAUAGGUUAACGAGGCGAACCGGGGGAACUGAAACAUCUAAGUACCCCGAGGAAAAGAAAUCAACCGAGAUUCCCCCAGUAGCGGCGAGCGAACGGGGAGCAGCCCGGAGUCUGAAUCAGCUUGUGUGUUAGUGGAACGGUCUGGAAAGUCCGACGGUACAGGGUGAUAGUCCCGUACACGAAAAUGCACAUGCUGUGAACUCGAAGAGUAGGGCGGGACACGUGGUAUCCUGUCUGAAUAUGGGGGGACCAUCCUCCAAGGCUAAAUACUCCUGACUGACCGAUAGUGAACCAGUACCGUGAGGGAAAGGCGAAAAGAACCCCGGCGAGGGGAGUGAAAAAGAACCUGAAACCGUGUACGUACAAGCAGUGGGAGCCUCUUUAUGGGGUGACUGCGUACCUUUUGUAUAAUGGGUCAGCGACUUAUAUUCUGUAGCAAGGUUAACCGUAUAGGGGAGCCGAAGGGAAACCGAGUCUUAACUGGGCGUUAAGUUGCAGGGUAUAGACCCGAAACCCGGUGAUCUAGCCAUGGGCAGGUUGAAGGUUGGGUAACACUAACUGGAGGACCGAACCGACUAAUGUUGAAAAAUUAGCGGAUGACCUGUGGCUGGGGGUGAAAGGCCAAUCAAACCGGGAGAUAGCUGGUUCUCCCCGAAAGCUAUUUAGGUAGCGCCUCGUGAACUCAUCUUCGGGGGUAGAGCACUGUUUCGGCUAGGGGGCCAUCCCGGCUUACCAACCCGAUGCAAACUACGAAUACCGAAGAAUGUUAUCACGGGAGACACACGGCGGGUGCUAACGUCCGUCGUGAAGAGGGAAACAACCCAGACCGCCAGCUAAGGUCCCAAAGUCAUGGUUAAGUGGGAAACGAUGUGGGAAGGCACAGACAGCCAGGAUGUUGGCUUAGAAGCAGCCAUCAUUUAAAGAAAGCGUAAUAGCUCACUGGUCGAGUCGGCCUGCGCGGAAGAUGUAACGGGGCUAAACCAUGCACCGAAGCUGCGGCAGCGACACUAUGUGUUGUUGGGUAGGGGAGCGUUCUGUAAGCCGUUGAAGGUGUGCUGUGAGGCAUGCUGGAGGUAUCAGAAGUGCGAAUGCUGACAUAAGUAACGAUAAAGCGGGUGAAAAGCCCGCUCGCCGGAAGACCAAGGGUUCCUGUCCAACGUUAAUCGGGGCAGGGUGAGUCGACCCCUAAGGCGAGGCCGAAAGGCGUAGUCGAUGGGAAACAGGUUAAUAUUCCUGUACUUGGUGUUACUGCGAAGGGGGGACGGAGAAGGCUAUGUCAGCCGGGCGACGGUUGUCCCGGUUUAAGCAUGUAGGCGGAGGUUCCAGGUAAAUCCGGUACCUUUUAACGCUGAGGUGUGAUGACGAGGCACUACGGUGCUGAAGUGAUAAAUGCCCUGCUUCCAGGAAAAGCCUCUAAGCAUCAGGUAACACGAAAUCGUACCCCAAACCGACACAGGUGGUCAGGUAGAGAAUACCAAGGCGCUUGAGAGAACUCGGGUGAAGGAACUAGGCAAAAUGGUGCCGUAACUUCGGGAGAAGGCACGCUGAUAUGUAGGUGAAGCCCCUGCGGGCGGAGCUGAAAUCAGUCGAAGAUACCAGCUGGCUGCAACUGUUUAUUAAAAACACAGCACUGUGCAAACACGAAAGUGGACGUAUACGGUGUGACGCCUGCCCGGUGCCGGAAGGUUAAUUGAUGGGGUUAGCGGCAACGCGAAGCUCUUGAUCGAAGCCCCGGUAAACGGCGGCCGUAACUAUAACGGUCCUAAGGUAGCGAAAUUCCUUGUCGGGUAAGUUCCGACCUGCACGAAUGGCGUAAUGAUGGCCAGGCUGUCUCCACCCGAGACUCAGUGAAAUUGAACUCGCUGUGAAGAUGCAGUGUACCCGCGGCAAGACGGAAAGACCCCGUGAACCUUUACUAUAGCUUGACACUGAACACUGGUCCUUGAUGUGUAGGAUAGGUGGGAGGCUUUGAAGCGUGGACGCCAGUCUGCGUGGAGCCGCCCUUGAAAUACCACCCUUUAAUGGCUGGUGUUCUAACGUAGACCCGUGAUCCGGGUUGCGGACAGUGUCUGGUGGGUAGUUUGACUGGGGCGGUCUCCUCCCAAAGAGUAACGGAGGAGCACGAAGGUUGGCUAAUCCUGGUCGGACAUCAGGAGGUUAGUGCAAUGGCAUAAGCCAGCUUGACUGCGAGCGUGACGGCGCGAGCAGGUGCGAAAGCAGGUCAUAGUGAUCCGGUGGUUCUGAAUGGAAGGGCCAUCGCUCAACGGAUAAAAGGUACUCCGGGGAUAACAGGCUGAUACCGCCCAAGAGUUCAUAUCGACGGCGGUGUUUGGCACCUCGAUGUCGGCUCAUCACAUCCUGGGGCUGAAGUAGGUCCCAAGGGUAUGGCUGUUCGCCAUUUAAAGUGGUACGCGAGCUGGGUUUAGAACGUCGUGAGACAGUUCGGUCCCUAUCUGCCGUGGGCGCUGGAGAAUUGAGGGGGGCUGCUCCUAGUACGAGAGGACCGGAGUGGACGCAUCACUGGUGUUCGGGUUGUCAUGCCAAUGGCACUGCCCGGUAGCUAAAUGCGGAAGAGAUAAGUGCUGAAAGCAUCUAAGCACGAAACUUGCCCCGAGAUGAGUUCUCCCUGAGACUUUAAGUCUCCUGAAGGAACGUUGAAGACGACGACGUUGAUAGGUCGGGUGUGUAAGCGCAGCGAUGCGUUGAGCUAACCGAUACUAAUGAACCGUGAGGCUUAACCUUACAACGCCGAAGGUGUUU